GACGAACGCUGGCGGCGUGCUUAACACAUGCAAGUCGAGCGGUAAGGCCCUUUCGGGGGUACACGAGCGGCGAACGGGUGAGUAACACGUGGGUGACCUGCCCUUAGCUCUGGGAUAAGCCUGGGAAACUGGGUCUAAUACCGGAUAUGACUCCAUGACGCAUGUUGUGGGGUGGAAAGCCUUGUGCGGCUAGGGAUGGGCCCGCGGCCUAUCAGCUUGUUGGUGGGGUGAUGGCCACCAAGGCGACGACGGGUAGCCGGCCUGAGAGGGCGACCGGCCACACUGGGACUGAGACACGGCCCAGACUCCUACGGGAGGCAGCAGUGGGGAAUAUUGCGCAAUGGACGAAAGUCUGACGCAGCGACGCCGCGUGUGGGAUGACGGUCUUCGGAUUGUAAACCACUGUCGGGAGGGACGAAUACGCCGCAAGGGCGGGUGACGGUACCUCCAAAGGAAGCACCGGCUAACUCCGUGCCAGCCGCCGCCGUAAC
This 491-nucleotide ribosomal RNA is filed under the name uncultured bacterium. RNAcentral describes it as "bacterial SSU rRNA". It matches the Rfam family "Bacterial small subunit ribosomal RNA", at positions 28 to 524 of the family's 1533-position model. The record is from RNAcentral.